GUGGGGAAUUUUGCGCAAUGGGCGAAAGCCUGACGCAGCAACGCCGCGUGGAGGAUGAAGGCCUUCGGGUCGUAAACUCCUGUCAGGGGGGACGAAAUCCUCGAAAGAGGUCUGACUGUACCCCCGGAGGAAGCCACGGCCAACUCCGUGCCAGCAGCCGCGGUAAUACGGAGGUGGCAAGCGUUGUUCGGAAUUACUGGGCGUAAAGGGCGCGUAGGCGGCUUGGCAAGUCAGAUGUGAAAGCCCCGGGCUUAACUCGGGAAUUGCAUCUGAAACUGCUUUGCUUGAGUCCUGGAGGGGGCAGUGGAAUUCCCAGUGUAGCGGUGAAAUGCGUAGAUAUUGGGAGGAACACCGGCGGCGAAGGCGGCUGCCUGGACAGUGACUGACGCUGAUGCGCGAAAGCUAGGGUAGCAAACGGGAUUAGAAACCCCAGUAGUCC
RNAcentral lists this ribosomal RNA (439 nucleotides) under uncultured bacterium. Its description in RNAcentral is "bacterial SSU rRNA". It matches the Rfam family "Bacterial small subunit ribosomal RNA", at positions 354 to 796 of the family's 1533-position model. The record is from RNAcentral.